AGAAUCAACGCUGGCGGCGUGCCUAACACAUGCAAGUCGAACGGGAAAGUGGAGCAAUCCAUGAGUAUAGUGGCGACCGGGUGAGUAACACGUGACUAACCUACCCUUGAGUGGGGGAUAACCUCGGGAAACCGGGGCUAAUACCGCAUAACAUCUUCGGGAUGAGAAGCUGAAGAUCAAAGGAGCAAUUCGCUUUCGGGAGGGGGUCGCGGCUGAUUAGCUAGUUGGCGGGUAACGCCCACCAAGGCUUUGAUCGGUA
Molecule: ribosomal RNA, 259 nt
Filed under: uncultured bacterium
Lineage: Bacteria
Description: partial small subunit ribosomal RNA
Rfam family: Bacterial small subunit ribosomal RNA
Source: RNAcentral